RNAcentral lists this non-coding RNA (249 nucleotides) under Alligator mississippiensis (American alligator). RNAcentral describes it as "Eukaryotic small subunit ribosomal RNA". It matches the Rfam family "Eukaryotic small subunit ribosomal RNA", at positions 1210 to 1485 of the family's 1831-position model. Lineage: Eukaryota; Metazoa; Chordata; Crocodylia; Alligatoridae. The record is from Rfam by way of RNAcentral.
GAAACCACCUCAAAGGAAACACAGAAAGGUUGGACAGAUUGAUAGCUCUUUCUUGAUUCUGUGGGUGGUGCUGCAUGGCCGUUCUUACUUGGAGCAAGUUGCCUGGUUAAUUCCAAUAACGAACGAGAGUCUGCUAACUAGUUAUGCGACCCCCCAAGUGGUCGGCAAUCAACUUCUUAGAGGGACAAGUGACAUUCAUCCACCUGGGAUUGAGCAAUAACAGAUCUAUGAUGCCCUUAAAAAUUGGAG